GAUGAACGCUGGCGGCGUGCCUAAUACAUGCAAGUCGAGCGAACGGACGAGAAGCUUGCUUCUCUGAUGUUAGCGGCGGACGGGUGAGUAACACGUGGAUAACCGACCUAUAAGACUGGGAUAACUUCGGGAAACCGUAGCUAAUACCGGAUAAUAUUUUGAACCGCAUGGUUCAAAAGUGAAAGACGGUCUUGCUGUCACUUAUAGAUGGAUCCGCGCUGCAUUAGCUAGUUGGUAAGGUAACGGCUUACCAAGGCAACGAUGCAUAGCCGACCUGAGAGGGUGAUCGGCCACACUGGAACUGAGACACGGUCCAGACUCCUACGGGAGGCAGCAGUAGGGAAUCUUCCGCAAUGGGCGAAAGCCUGACGGAGCAACGCCGCGUGAGUGAUGAAGGUCUUCGGAUCGUAAAACUCUGUUAUUAGGGAAGAACAUAUGUGUAAGUAACUGUGCACAUCUUGACGUUACCUAAUCAGAAAGCCACGGCUAACUACGUG
This 497-nucleotide ribosomal RNA is filed under the name uncultured bacterium. RNAcentral's name for it is "partial 16S ribosomal RNA". It matches the Rfam family "Bacterial small subunit ribosomal RNA", at positions 28 to 507 of the family's 1533-position model. The record is from RNAcentral.